Molecule: ribosomal RNA, 458 nt
Filed under: Massilia sp. YIM B02769
Lineage: Bacteria; Pseudomonadati; Pseudomonadota; Betaproteobacteria; Burkholderiales; Oxalobacteraceae
Description: bacterial SSU rRNA
Rfam family: Bacterial small subunit ribosomal RNA
Source: RNAcentral
GAGAUGUUGGGUUAAGUCCCGCAACGAGCGCAACCCUUGUCAUUAGUUGCUACGCAAGAGCACUCUAAUGAGACUGCCGGUGACAAACCGGAGGAAGGUGGGGAUGACGUCAAGUCCUCAUGGCCCUUAUGGGUAGGGCUUCACACGUCAUACAAUGGUACAUACAGAGGGCCGCCAACCCGCGAGGGGGAGCUAAUCCCAGAAAGUGUAUCGUAGUCCGGAUCGCAGUCUGCAACUCGACUGCGUGAAGUUGGAAUCGCUAGUAAUCGCGGAUCAGCAUGCCGCGGUGAAUACGUUCCCGGGUCUUGUACACACCGCCCGUCACACCAUGGGAGCGGGUUUUACCAGAAGUAGGUAGCUUAACCGUAAGGAGGGCGCUUACCACGGUAGGAUUCGUGACUGGGGUGAAGUCGUAACAAGGUAGCCGUAUCGGAAGGUGCGGCUGGAUCACCUCCUUU